AAAAGUUGAACGUACAAGCUCAGUGAGGCAAGAAUGGAAUAUCUGAGGGCUAGAACUUUGCUUAAAGAGAUAGUCAUGGUUCAUCUGACCACAAAGCCUGUCAUAGUCAUGGAAGCAAAAGCAUGAAAAACCUAUGAGUGUGUGAGAUCCUAAAAACGUAUUUCACUCAUCCUUCCAAGGCUCUGUGUCAUCCUGGCAUGCCAGACUGUAAACUGUUUGCUUCGAGUAAAGCUGAAAACUAAAAGAAUCCUCACACCAAAAUAUAAUCGAAACAAUAUUCCUGAUGAAUUUAAAGUCCACAUAAAGAACAGUUUGCAUUACUAAACUCAAUAGACCAUGAAGCAGAAGAACUGUGGAUAGAAGAACAAGAUCAUCCCAAGAUAUAUGGUAACUGUCUGAGGUGAUGGACAAGAUGAUGCCCCAGGCAAAUCCAUAUACAGAAGCAGUUCAGUUCUACUUCAGCAUCGCCAAUGGAAUAGCAUCCUCUACCAUGACACAGAGCAGAAGAUUAGGGUCAUGGGUCUGAUCCCCUGUUGAUGCACGAAAUCCAUAGCUACUACAUUUAAGAAUUUUAGAUGUUAUUGUUUUAAGACUUUUAAAGAUACAUUUUUAAAAUAUUUAUUUUACUGUAUAUUACUAUGCAAGUUCUGGUUGGUAGAAAAUAAGUUCACGUGAUUUUGGAACUUAAGUUGGGUUGGGCCUGGUUACUAGGAGUCUUCAGGGGUCCCACCCCAUUAGUGCUGCAUACUACGCAGAGCAGUUUACAGCAAAAUAAAAUAUAACCUGGCAACAACAGGGUUAUAAAUCAAACCAAGAUACUAUAACACAUACUACAAGAGACUUAACAUCAGCUAUUGGAAAAGGUGAAA
Pogona vitticeps (central bearded dragon) is the source of this 869-nucleotide non-coding RNA. NCBI's taxonomy places the organism in Eukaryota, Metazoa, Chordata, Lepidosauria, Squamata, Agamidae. The record is from RefSeq and is a predicted model, not a curated record.